Molecule: long non-coding RNA, 230 nt
Filed under: Capsicum annuum
Lineage: Eukaryota; Viridiplantae; Streptophyta; Magnoliopsida; Solanales; Solanaceae
Description: long non-coding RNA (CANN_LNC004955)
Source: RNAcentral
UCAGCCAGUGCUCCAGUUCCUAAGUUCAUAGAGGGUAACAGAGAUAGAGCACCAGGCUCUAGGUCUCAGGGCAGUGUUAGCAAUUCCCGAACUAAUCCUUUUGUCGGACUUAUAGUAAGAACCACAAGGAUGCUUGUAGAGCUAGUAGCGAUAUCUAUUUUGGUUGUGGCAAGCUAGGCCACCGAGUUUGAGGCUGGCCUCAGUCAGGUUAUCAAACUUAUAUCCGCUCC